Helianthus annuus (common sunflower) is the source of this 452-nucleotide long non-coding RNA. RefSeq lists it as uncharacterized. The record is from RefSeq and is a predicted model, not a curated record. Lineage: Eukaryota; Viridiplantae; Streptophyta; Magnoliopsida; Asterales; Asteraceae. The transcript has 4 exons.
CAGAGAUAUGCUUGCUAUAGUUGGAAAUUGGUACCAUGUCGGUUGGUUUUGCUUGGCAAGAUUUGUGACGAUGCGUCGGACAAACAACAUUGGAAUAAGAUACAGCCUUGAGCCUUGGCAAGUUAACACAUUAGUUAGGGUUAUGAAGUUUUUCAUGGAACUGACACAUUAUUGAGCAGUAGCGCAUCAGAUGACCAGUGUAUAUCUCUACUUGAGGAAUUCUCCAAAGAUCCAGAGCCGAUUGUUUCAUAGAGCUGUGAAGUUGCUCUAAACAUACUGGAUUUUGAACGAUCCGGCAAACCAUUCGAGUACAUCUUUAUGUAGGCACCUCAAUUGCAGGAGGCGGCAUGAUGGUUUCACUUUGUUGUGUGUUUUGUUACCAUUGAGUACUAAAUGGCAUACAUUUGGAUAGAGUUUUGAAUGAUUUACUCAACAUUAUUAUUUGAAUGGUU